Molecule: long non-coding RNA, 281 nt
Filed under: Carica papaya (papaya)
Lineage: Eukaryota; Viridiplantae; Streptophyta; Magnoliopsida; Brassicales; Caricaceae
Description: long non-coding RNA (CPAP_LNC015231)
Source: RNAcentral
CAGUCCAUCAUUUAAAAUCCUAAAAUUAAAAGAUUCAUCAGGAGUGAACUUACCUUGGUGAGUUUCAGGUCCGUGGACUGAACUUCUUAAAUUUUCAUGAAGAGAUCUGGAAGAGCUCAGAUUUGAGCAAGAUAGGUGCCUUUGUCGAAGUAGCUAAGGUGGAGAGACUGCAUAGUAUCCAUCAAUUUCCAACUAGUGGCCAUGGUUUGAGCCAACAUUGCGGACUCCUUUCGACUUAGUGUAUUGACACCUACAUUUCCUCUACUGAAGUGAUAGAUGAU